Molecule: ribosomal RNA, 497 nt
Filed under: uncultured bacterium
Lineage: Bacteria
Description: partial 16S ribosomal RNA
Rfam family: Bacterial small subunit ribosomal RNA
Source: RNAcentral
GAUGAACGCUGGCGGCGUGCUUAACACAUGCAAGUCGAACGGAAAGACGAGGAGCUUGCUGGUCGCACGUGAGGGGCGGGCGGGUGAGACACACGAGGAUGACCGACCGAGAGGGCUGAGAUAACGACGGGAAAGCGGAGACAACACCGGAUAAGAUAUUGAAACGCAGGGACCAUUGGUGAAAGACGGUUUGGCGGGCACGAAUAGAGGGUUCCGAGCCGCAUGAGUUAGUUGGUAGGGUAACGGCCUACCAUGGCGACGAUGCGUAGCCGACCUGAGAGGGUGAUCGGCCACACUGGAACUGAGACACGGCCCAGACUCCUACGGGAGGCAGCAGUGGGGAAUUUUCGGCAAAGGGCGAAAGCCUGACGCAGCAACGCCGCGUGAGUGACGAAGGCCUUCGGAUCGUAAACCUCUGUUAUUCGGAAAGAACAGGUUUUGACUAAACUAUGGCCGUCUUGACGGUACCGUAUCAAAAAGCCCCGGCUAACUACGUG